UAAUGGGUGAUGGCGUGCCUUUUGUAGAAUGAACCGGCGAGUUACGAUUUGAUGCAAGGUUAAGCAGUAAAUGUGGAGCCGUAGCGAAAGCGAGUCUGAAUAGGGCGUUUAGUAUUUGGUCGUAGACCCGAAACCAGGUGAUCUACCCUUGGUCAGGUUGAAGUUCAGGUAACACUGAAUGGAGGACCGAACCGACUUACGUUGAAAAGUGAGCGGAUGAACUGAGGGUAGCGGAGAAAUUCCAAUCGAACCUGGAGAUAGCUGGUUCUCUCCGAAAUAGCUUUAGGGCUAGCCUCAAGUGAUGAUUAUUGGAGGUAGAGCACUGUUUGGACGAGGGGCCCCUCUCGGGUUACCGAAUUCAGACAAACUCCGAAUGCCAAUUAAUUUAACUUGGGAGUCAGAACAUGGGUGAUAAGGUCCGUGUUCGAAAGGGAAACAGCCCAGACCACCAGCUAAGGUCCCAAAAUAUAUGUUAAGUGGAAAAGGAUGUGGCGUUGCCCAGACAACUAGGAUGUUGGCUUAGAAGCAGCCAUCAUUUAAAGAGUGCGUAAUAGCUCACUAGUCGAGUGACACUGCGCCGAAAAUGUACCGGGGCUAAACAUAUUACCGAAGCUGUGGAUUGUCCUUUGGACAAUGGUAGGAGAGCGUUCUAAGGGCGUUGAAGCAUGAUCGUAAGGACAUGUGGAGCGCUUAGAAGUGAGAAUGCCGGUGUGAGUAGCGAAAGACGGGUGAGAAUCCCGUCCACCGAUUGACUAAGGUUUCCAGAGGAAGGCUCGUCCGCUCUGGGUUAGUCGGGUCCUAAGCUGAGGCCGACAGGCGUAGGCGAUGGAUAACAGGUUGAUAUUCCUGUACCACCUAUAAUCGUUUUAAUCGAUGGGGGGACGCAGUAGGAUAGGCGAAGCGUGCGAUUGGAUUGCACGUCUAAGCAGUAAGGCUGAGUAUUAGGCAAAUCCGGUACUCGUUAAGGCUGAGCUGUGAUGGGGAGAAGACAUUGUGUCUUCGAGUCGUUGAUUUCACACUGCCGAGAAAAGCCUCUAGAUAGAAAAUAGGUGCCCGUACCGCAAACCGACACAGGUAGUCAAGAUGAGAAUUCUAAGGUGAGCGAGCGAACUCUCGUUAAGGAACUCGGCAAAAUGACCCCGUAACUUCGGGAGAAGGGGUGCUCUUUAGGGUUAACGCCCAGAAGAGCCGCAGUGAAUAGGCCCAAGCGACUGUUUAUCAAAAACACAGGUCUCUGCUAAACCGUAAGGUGAUGUAUAGGGGCUGACGCCUGCCCGGUGCUGGAAGGUUAAGAGGAGUGGUUAGCUUCUGCGAAGCUACGAAUCGAAGCCCCAGUAAACGGCGGCCGUAACUAUAACGGUCCUAAGGUAGCGAAAUUCCUUGUCGGGUAAGUUCCGACCCGCACGAAAGGCGUAACGAUUUGGGCACUGUCUCAACGAGAGACUCGGUGAAAUCAUAGUACCUGUGAAGAUGCAGGUUACCCGCGACAGGACGGAAAGACCCCGUGGAGCUUUACUGUAGCCUGAUAUUGAAAUUCGGCACAGCUUGUACAGGAUAGGUAGGAGCCUUUGAAACGUGAGCGCUAGCUUACGUGGAGGCGCUGGUGGGAUACUACCCUAGCUGUGUUGGCUUUCUAACCCGCACCACUUAUCGUGGUGGGAGACAGUGUCAGGCGGGCAGUUUGACUGGGGCGGUCGCCUCCUAAAAGGUAACGGAGGCGCUCAAAGGUUCCCUCAGAAUGGUUGGAAAUCAUUCAUAGAGUGUAAAGGCAUAAGGGAGCUUGACUGCGAGACCUACAAGUCGAGCAGGGUCGAAAGACGGACUUAGUGAUCCGGUGGUUCCGCAUGGAAGGGCCAUCGCUCAACGGAUAAAAGCUACCCCGGGGAUAACAGGCUUAUCUCCCCCAAGAGUUCACAUCGACGGGGAGGUUUGGCACCUCGAUGUCGGCUCAUCGCAUCCUGGGGCUGUAGUCGGUCCCAAGGGUUGGGCUGUUCGCCCAUUAAAGCGGUACGCGAGCUGGGUUCAGAACGUCGUGAGACAGUUCGGUCCCUAUCCGUCGUGGGCGUAGGAAAUUUGAGAGGAGCUGUCCUUAGUACGAGAGGACCGGGAUGGACAUACCUCUGGUGUACCAGUUGUCGUGCCAACGGCAUAGCUGGGUAGCUAUGUGUGGACGGGAUAAGUGCUGAAAGCAUCUAAGCAUGAAGCCCCCCUCAAGAUGAGAUUUCCCAACUUCGGUUAUAAGAUCCCU
Molecule: ribosomal RNA, 2248 nt
Filed under: Staphylococcus aureus
Lineage: Bacteria; Bacillati; Bacillota; Bacilli; Caryophanales; Staphylococcaceae
Description: partial 23S ribosomal RNA
Rfam family: Bacterial large subunit ribosomal RNA
Source: RNAcentral